This 491-nucleotide ribosomal RNA is filed under the name uncultured bacterium. Its description in RNAcentral is "partial 16S ribosomal RNA". It matches the Rfam family "Bacterial small subunit ribosomal RNA", at positions 29 to 506 of the family's 1533-position model. The record is from RNAcentral.
AGUGAACGCUGGCGGUAGGCCUAACACAUGCAAGUCGAACGGCAGCACAGUAAGAGCUUGCUCUUACGGGUGGCGAGUGGCGGACGGGUGAGGAAUACAUCGGAAUCUACUUUUUCGUGGGGGAUAACGUAGGGAAACUUACGCUAAUACCGCAUACGACCUACGGGUGAAAGCAGGGGAUCUUCGGACCUUGCGCGAUUGAAUGAGCCGAUGUCGGAUUAGCUAGUUGGCGGGGUAAAGGCCCACCAAGGCGACGAUCCGUAGCUGGUCUGAGAGGAUGAUGAGCCACACUGGAACUGAGACACGGUCCAGACUCCUACGGGAGGCAGCAGUGGGGAAUAUUGGACAAUGGGCGCAAGCCUGAUCCAGCCAUACCGCGUGGGUGAAGAAGGCCUUCGGGUUGUAAAGCCCUUUUGUUGGGAAAGAAAAGCAGCAGGUUAAUACCCCGCUGUUCGGACGGGACCCAAAGAAUAAGCACCGGCUAACUUCGG